CAGGGAAUCUUGCGCAAUGGGCGAAAGCCUGACGCAGCGACACCGCGUGGGGGAUGAAGGCCCUAGGGUUGUAAACCCCUUUUCUCAGGGAAGAGUAAGGACGGUACCUGAGGAAUAAGGAUCGGCUAACUACGUGCCAGCAGCCGCGGUAAUACGUAGGAUUCGAGCGUUGUCCGGAUUUACUGGGCGUAAAGGGUGCGUAGGCGGCAUGGUAAGUCUCAUGUGAAAUCUCCCGGCCUAACUGGGAGGGGUCAUGGGAAACUGCCACGCUUGAGGGCAGCAGAGGAGAGCGGAAUUCCGGGAGUAGUGGUGAAAUGCGUAGAUACCCGGAGGAACACCCGAGGCGAAAGCGGCUCUCUGGGCUGUACCUGACGCUGAGGCACGAAAGCGUGGGGAGCAAACCGGAUUAGAUACCCCUGUAGUCC
This 425-nucleotide ribosomal RNA is filed under the name uncultured prokaryote. RNAcentral describes it as "bacterial SSU rRNA". It matches the Rfam family "Bacterial small subunit ribosomal RNA", at positions 355 to 796 of the family's 1533-position model. The record is from RNAcentral.